GUACCCUCAAGCUUUGCUUGGUGUUGGGCGUCUUGUCUCUCACGAGACUCGCCUUAAAAUCAUUGGCAGCCGACCUACUGGUUUCGGAGCGCAGCACAAUUCUUGCACUUUGAAUCAGCCUUGGUUGAGCAUCCAUCAAGACCCUAUUUUUGGCUCCAAGAGUAACCCACACGCGUCCCAUUUCAUAGGAACGCUCUUA
RNAcentral lists this unclassified non-coding RNA (199 nucleotides) under uncultured Pleosporaceae. Its description in RNAcentral is "sequence contains ITS2". Lineage: Eukaryota; Fungi; Ascomycota; Dothideomycetes; Pleosporales; Pleosporaceae. The record is from RNAcentral.